GUGCUCACUUUAGCCACACAUAUACUAAAAUUGAAACAAUACAGAGAAUAUUAAUAUGGCCCCUGCACAGGGAUGAGACACAAAUUAGUGAAGCAUUCCAUAGUUUU
Small nuclear RNA from Phodopus roborovskii (desert hamster), 107 nucleotides. The record is from RefSeq and is a predicted model, not a curated record. NCBI's taxonomy places the organism in Eukaryota, Metazoa, Chordata, Mammalia, Rodentia, Cricetidae.